RNAcentral lists this ribosomal RNA (659 nucleotides) under uncultured bacterium. RNAcentral describes it as "bacterial SSU rRNA". It matches the Rfam family "Bacterial small subunit ribosomal RNA", at positions 374 to 1033 of the family's 1533-position model. The record is from RNAcentral.
GGGGCACCUGAUCCUUCAUGCCGCGUGAGUGAAGAAGGCCUUCGGGUUGUAAAGCUCUUUUGUCAGGGAAGAAACACCGGCUCUAACACAGUCCGGGAAUGACGGUACCUGAAGAAUAAGCACCGGCUAACUACGUGCCAGCAGCCGCGGUAAUACGUAGGGUGCGAGCGUUAAUCGGAAUUACUGGGCGUAAAGCGUGCGCAGGCGGUUAUACAAGACAGGCGUGAAAUCCCCGGGCUUAACCUGGGAAUGGCGCCUGUGACUGUAUGGCUAGAGUGUGUCAGAGGGGGGUAGAAUUCCACGUGUAGCAGUGAAAUGCGUAGAUAUGUGGAGGAAUACCAAUGGCGAAGGCAGCCCCCUGGGAUAACACUGACGCUCAUGCACGAAAGCGUGGGGAGCAAACAGGAUUAGAUACCCUGGUAGUCCACGCCCUAAACGAUGCUGACUAGUUGUUCGGGAUUUACUUCCUGAGUAACGUAGCUAACGCGUGAAGUCAGCCGCCUGGGGAGUACGGUCGCAAGAUUAAAACUCAAAGGAAUUGACGGGGACCCGCACAAGCGGUGGAUGAUGUGGAUUAAUUCGAUGCAACGCGAAAAACCUUACCUACCCUUGACAUGUCACUAACGAAGUAGAGAUACAUUAGGUGCUCGUAAGAGAAC